UACGUAGGGUGCAAGCGUUAAUCGGGAUUACUGGGCGUAAAGCGUGCGCAGGCGGUGAUGUAAGACAGGUGUGAAAUCCCCGGGCUUAACCUGGGAACUGCAUUUGUGACUGCAUCGCUGGAGUGCGGCAGAGGGGGAUGGAAUUCCGCGUGUAGCAGUGAAAUGCGUAGAUAUGCGGAGGAACACCGAUGGCGAAGGCAGCCCCCUGGGCCAACACUGACGCUCAGGCACGAAAGCGUGGGGAGCAAACAGG
Molecule: ribosomal RNA, 253 nt
Filed under: uncultured bacterium
Lineage: Bacteria
Description: partial 16S ribosomal RNA
Rfam family: Bacterial small subunit ribosomal RNA
Source: RNAcentral